RNAcentral lists this transfer RNA (76 nucleotides) under Propioniciclava flava. Its description in RNAcentral is "Propionibacteriaceae bacterium VG341 tRNA-Lys". It matches the Rfam family "tRNA". From Rfam's summary of the family: Transfer RNA (tRNA) molecules are approximately 80 nucleotides in length. Their secondary structure includes four short double-helical elements and three loops (D, anti-codon, and T loops). Lineage: Bacteria; Bacillati; Actinomycetota; Actinomycetes; Propionibacteriales; Propionibacteriaceae. The record is from RNAcentral.
GGGCCUAUAGCUCAACUGGCAGAGCAGCGGACUUUUAAUCCGCGGGUUCUGGGUUCGAUUCCCAGUGGGCCCACCC